This is a long non-coding RNA of Lutra lutra (Eurasian river otter), 165 nucleotides long. RefSeq lists it as uncharacterized. The transcript is spliced from 5 exons. Lineage: Eukaryota; Metazoa; Chordata; Mammalia; Carnivora; Mustelidae. The record is from RefSeq and is a predicted model, not a curated record.
GACCAUUCUAGCAGGUUUGAGGUGAUACCUUAUUGUUGUGGUUUUGAUUUGCAUUUCCCUGAUGAUUAGUGAUGUUGAGCACAUUUUCUUGUACCUGUUAGCCAUUUAAAUAUCUCCUUUGGGAACAUGUCUAUUCAGUUUUUGCUCAGUUUUAAAUUCUUUCUU